AUGACUGUGGCUGAAAUAAGCAUGUCUUGAGCAAUCAAGAUAGCUGUGGCCUGUGUGUACUAAAUUAGAGCCCACCCUUUCCUCCCUUGCAGCCUGUCCAAUUCAUCGGUAACGUUGGAUGUUCUGCACCUUGGACGGUCAUUCUGAUGAGUGACAACCAGGGCAGUUUUCUUACAUUUUGAUGGGUAGAUUAUGCAGCAAGAGAUGUGAGUGUUGGGUUUGAAGAUGAAAUGCAAAACUGAGCCNNNNNNNNNNUUUGCUUAUGAUCCUUGUAUCCCCUCUCUCUCUCCCUAAAACAAAUCAGUCAAGUUCUCAUUGCCGGCUUGCUGGCCCAUCGUCUCUGUGGCUGCCAUGUCAGUUCCCUGUCUUUACGGUGCUGCCAGCCGCAACCAGUCCAUUGCCUUGGAUUCGUUGUGGUGUGGCUGGGAACCGUAAGGCGUCGUCUGAUGCGUCGUCCACACUGGGAGGUUUGGUCGGUUGAGGCCAGGUAUGAGCAACUCCUGAGACUGUCUAAGUUACUCACCACUAUGGCCAGCCUGAUGGAUGGAUGGAUGGAUGGAUGGAUGGAUGGACGGACGCAUGCAUGCAUGUAUGUAGGGAUAGUAUGGUCAUGUUGCUUGGGGUUUGACCUCCUUUUCAAAAAAAAAAAAGGGGCGAUGAUGAUGCCUGUGGCUGGAAUAAUUAUGUGUUGAGCAAUCAAGACAGCUGUGGCGUGUGGGUACUAAAUAGGCCCCGAAUGGGGCCGGAGUUGGAGAUGCCCUUAAGAGCUCACCCUUACGUUUCUUGCAGCCUGUUCAAUUCAUGGCUAAUGUUGGAUGUUCUGCGCCUCGGAUGGUCAUUCUGAUGAUUGAUAACCAGGGCAGGUCUCUUACAUCGCGAUGUGUAGGUUAUGCAGCAAGAGACGUGAGUAUUGGGCUUGAAGAUGAAAGGCAAAACUGAGCCCUCUUUUGCUACGCUACAAAUACUUAGUUUUUCCUUCUCUACUAUACAUUGUUUUUUAUUUUCUGUUCCUCUCUAUUGUGUUGAUGUGAGAUCUCGAUCUGGAUUGCUAUCUUCUCUUGGUGACGAACCCAACCACCCUGGGUUACUUGGUUUGGUUCCUAGUUGGCGUUGUUUUUGCCUUUAAAGUUGUACAUAUACAUACUAUGUGUCAAACGAUUCUCCUUUUUUCCUCCAAUGCUUGUAGCUAUUGGCAGUUCUAUUCAUGUGGUUAACGAGAAGCUGUUCUCUUGCUUGUCUUGUCCUGCCAGAUGCUUCUUCAAAGACCAAGUUCUGAUCCGUUAUGUCUGUGUUUUUAUAAACUGAAGCUCAAAUUACCUUCGUAUUUGGUUUGGUCAGAGCAGACCUUUUGUUAUGAUUCUCUAUGCUAUUUAGUUCAUUGGUGAUUAGUCUAUUUUCAGCUGCUGCUGUCAAUAUUAACUGUCACAUUUUCGAUGCAUGCGUGUUACAGAUCCCUUGAACGGAUUCGAAAUGAGUGUCAAGUAAAGUUAUCAAAUGCAAAAGUGUAUUUGUUAAAAAGGCUCUUAUAUUUAACUGAAUGUCCUCCUGGAGCUUCCGCUUAGGUCAUUCAUGAUUUAUAUGUUGGGGGCUCGCCCCCUUCUCAUUAUAUAUUUUAAAAUUAAUUUAUUCAGUAUUCUUGCUUUGGUUUUGUUUUCAUUUUGCCAGAGGUUAGACUGACCGGUGUUCAGUUUCAUGGUGGAAUUGCCCACUAUCCAAUGUCACAUGCCUGACUAUUUAGCAUUAGAACCCCAUUUUUCAUGGGAUAAACGGGUGAGCUGCAUUUCCUGCUUUCUGUUUGUAUUAUAUGCAUCCCUUUUUGCAAGCUUAUGCUUUUCUUCUGUUUCAAAACGGAAAGUUUAUGUCAUCCUGUUUUUAUUUGGCUUGUAGUGACUCAACCAAGCCUUUAGUCUCAACACAUGGAUUGCUAGCUUCUACGCACCUCUGUCCAUGGCUAGUUCUUUGGUGAUAUUCCAUGUCCUCCUUUACUAUCCCACCCCUGUCCAUGGCUAGUUCUUUGGUCAUAUUACAUGUCCUCCUGUAUUAUCACUAUUAAAUUUUUACUGGUUCUUUUGGUAGUGAUGUACAUUCAAGUCGGCAAAUUGUGAACUUCUUUUCUACUGUUUUGGUCCAGCACAGCAACUGCUAACUGGCCUCAAGGAAUACAAUUUGCAUGGUUUGCUUUCUGCUGAUGACCAUUUUAAUGUGUAUAGAAGCCAAUACGUUGAAAAACACAAUGUUGUCAUAAGCCUGUAUCUACCUCCUGUUGCAAAAAUACCAUGGCUACCUUUUAUAAAUUGGCCAACUCUGAGCCUCCCGCCUAAUAAAGUUCUGAGUAAAAUUGAGUGUUUCCUUCCCAAAAUUUGAACUGAUCUUUUCCUUUUUGGUAAUUUGUUGUUCUUGCUUGCUUGCAUCCAUGUAUACAUAAAAGAUAUGUUGAGAGUUCGGUUAUGAUAUUAGUUCUUUCGGUAAAAUCAUGGGCUGGUGGAUGCAAAAGUAGUUUUGCAAGUUUAUAUUUUCGCCUUUUUUCCUACACAUUUUGUUGGUUUUGCAGUAUGUCAACCGGUUCUGUUGUUUUAGGAACAGUACUCCAGGCUCACUUAAUUCUUGUCUCUCUCUUUUUUUUUUUUCCUUUUUUGUUCUUCCUUUUUCUUGAAUGGCUAUGAUAAUUCUGCUGUGCCUUGGAUGGUAAUCUUAUUUGGUGCUGGGUCAGUUUGCUUGUUUCAAUUGCUAUUUGACUUGAUAAUUUUGUUCUUCUAUUGUACUCUUUAUUAUCUACUUAUCAGUUUGUAGUUUUGGUUUCUCUUUAGGCCGCGCUUGGGAUGGUUGUAUUUCAAUACGGGGGUAUUUAGUUUACACUUGUAUUUUACUGGCUGCUGAGGCCGUGUUUGAGUUGUCGUUUUCUUUCCAAAUACGUCUGUAAACAAUACAGAUCUCCAUCCGUCGUUUCGCUUCCAGCCGGGAAUCUCUAUUAGCUCGGUAAAUCACACCUGUAAAUUAAAUACAUUUGUAUCUAAAUACACCCAUUCCAAGCGGGGCCUGAACAAUUUCUGGCUGAAAACAAAACGAUGGCCCGAGGUCCGUAUUUUUUACACGUGUAUUUGAAACGGAAACCUGUACUUCUUUACUGGUUUCAACUUAAGGGUCGCAUAUAGCAAGUUCAGCUGUCAAAAUUACUGUCUUCUUUGUGUCACAUUCCUGAAUGGCUGUGAUGAUAUAACCUCCCUAUGAGAGCUAUCUAACACCUGAAUUGAUUUACUUGGUGCUAAACUAGGAUGGCUUGUGUCAAGCAAGUAACCAGUUUAGCGGCUAACUCCCUCAGUUCAUUGGAUUUUUCAGUAUGGACUACGCACGGACUGAAAGGAGUGACUAAACACACUAAAAAUAUACACCCGAUUAAGAAAAAAGUUAGAACAUCUUAUAUUUCUGAAUGGAAGGAGUACUGUUAAACGUUGGAAUUAAGAAUCCACUUAACAGUGUGUAGAGACGGACAAUGGAGAUUACAUGAUCCUUCUACUUAUGGUGGCAAGAUGGCGUUAUAUUUGAGCCAUUUACUUAUACAUGUCCCAGUUUUAUGUGUCCACCAGUUCAUGGUUUGCUCCUGGUAUUGUUUCUUUCUGCAAUCACUGAUUCUCCUAUGAUUUCUUGUCAUCUUGUGCUCUUUGACUAUUGGCUUCUUUGUAAUUCUCUUUGUGGUAUUUGCGCCAAAGUGCUGUUGAUGGCGAUAAUGAGUAAUGUUCAUUCAGAGGUGUAUUUAGAUCAGAUAUCAUCACUUGUUUAUAUGGUAUGUUUUAGGGUUAGGGUUUUGUGUGACUAGGUGGAAGUGUGCAAAUCGGGACGGCUUGCUUUCUCAUUUGAAUGCUGAAAUGUCACACAGGGAUGUAAGGGCAUCUGCAAUGCGGAUCAAUGCGGAUCACCAGGGGUGUAAGGGCAUCUGCAAAGCGGAUCACCAAGUGUAUCGGAUACAGAGUGGGUUCUGCCCAUAUGAGAGCCUCCUUUUUUUUUAAAUAAAUACGACCUCUACUUUUGAAUAUUAUUGGUUUUGAUUCUUCUCAAUCUAUUAAUGAUUUAUAGCAGUAUUGGGAUCUCAUUGUAAUAUACUCCCUUCGUAAAGAAAUAUAAGAGCGUUUAGAUCACUAAGUAAUCUACGACACUUACAAGAUAUGCUCAUUGCAAACUGGAUUUUGUUCUAUUUUACACUUGCAUACUCAGAAUGCGUUGAAUUACUCAUGCAUCAAGAGGUUGUACUUUAUUUGAAUAAAAAGCAAUCCUAUGUGCUGAGGGCCCUGGGAAGCGGCAGAGGGCGUAUUUUGCUUUGCGAGAACUACAGGUGUUCCUGGGUUUGCGCAUGUUCAUAUUCUCGACUAUUUUCUCACCAUAUACAUGUUCAGUGUUGCUGUACGUACACAUAGAUAAUGCCCGUUGCUAUACAUACACAUCUAUAAUGCCAACAUACGCAUAUAUAAUGCCCAGUACAUAACUAUCUGUACGUGAGAUUUUCAUUAUUCAUUACUUGGAGGCAUGGUGUUGAUAAUCUAAAUAUUGAGCUUCCUCAUACAGUAUGUCUCAUCAUACAGUUUCAUCUGGGUUCUGAAGUUGCGCCUCAUACGUACCGGGCAGUUGGAAUACACAGCACCGCCUGCAAAGGUUCCAACUCCUCUUGUGAAGCUAACCAUUUGGCCCUUCCGAAAAGAAAUCUGACUCUGUCCGAAAUCCUGACCAUGUGGUAUAUGGAGAUGAUUUCUGACACCCGAAGAAGAAUUGAAUAUCCUAAUCCAAGAGAAAAAUUGCCUCUGUUCUCAACAAGUGCAGGUGCCAAAGGAUCAUAUUUCAAUCGCUCCACGCAUCCUAAGUUCUUUCAGAAUAGUCCAUACGAUAGCCCUUGCACCUCGCCCUCUCCUUAGUUCUGAACUCAAGAACAAGCAAUAUGUUACUCUCGAGUACUAUAUGAAAGCCGAAAGAUAUUAUCUCAUGAAUUUCCAAAUAUCACCGCUACGCGAGAGAUUGGCUGUUACGCAAAAUUGCUUCAAGAGCUGGAUGAUUUUUGCCCCACCAAAGUGUUUGCAUUUGAGCAUCCCUUGAACCGCGAAACUGCAGAGAUUGGCUGUUACGCAAAAUUGCUUCAAGAGCUGGAUGAUUUCUGCCCCACCAAAGUGUUUGCAUUUGAGCAUCCCUUGAACCGCGAAACUGCUCUCCAGUUUUAUGCCACUCUGUACAUUUUUCAAGAAGAGGAUGACAACUCCAAGUGGAUCAUGGAAUGGAUGACCUAAGAAAAACGCAUCAAGUGCACAUCAACUGACUUCGUGUCACACUUUCAUUUUCCUCGUUUUGAGCAUGUCAAACAAAAUAUUCGGGUCCAUAAAUUGAUGUCAUCACUGAUGAAGAGUUUCGAUGCACCAGAGUUGCAGAAAAGAUUCAGGACUACUAUGGUUCUUCUUGUCCCGAACACCUAUUUUUUUAUCAUGCCAUGAAGACUGUCUAUGUUGCCAAGGCCACUCACAAGUGUUUCGUUCCUCCUGUGCGCGAUACACUACAAGUUAUGGAAGAUUUUACCUCGGGAAAAUCUCCUGCCCCAAUCCAAGAUGACAAUCCAAGAUUGUCAUCGCCAAUUUGUUGGCCCUCGUCUACCUCAACUCGGAAGGAUUGCUUCCCCUCUGCCGCCUUCUCAACUUGAAGUUAGCUUGCACACUCAGCAAGUUCUCGUGAAACAUAUUGAGGAAGAUUACUCCGAGAAAGAACACUUAGUCACACAGCUCAAUUUCAUCAACAACCUCACUCGUGUGAUGCACUUAAUCGCUCAUGAGAAUAAGAAGAGGCUUUGUAAAUUUCUUUGCAAAUUCUUCAUCAAAAAGCAACUCAUGAAUGCGAACCUUCAAGAGCUUUGUGAUUAUAUUGACAAGGGUUUCUCUAUCAAAGAUUUCCAAGAUCAAAGUGUUCCAUCUCUACCUGCUCGUGAACCUACAACUCAUCUUCUUCAUCCUAAGAUUUACAAGCCGCUCGAAGAAUAAAAGGCCAUGUCUCCUACUGUGAAACCAUCUGAAGGCCAAGCUCUCACUCGUAUUCCGCCUGAAGUUGAUCCACUUGUGCCUAGCUCCUCUACUCAGCACGCAGAAAAUCCUCGAGAAGAACCCACUUCCGUCGACACCCAAGAAGCUCCUACAAUGCGAGUCACAUCUGUAGAUGAAGGAUCUUCAGCCAGCUCUUCUAUAAAUUCCUCAGAGUAGUCUUCAUUGAGCGCUUCAUGCCUCAUGUUAUUCGUCACCUUUUUGACACUCGUUGACAAAAGAGGAGAAUUACAUCAAGUUUCUGAUAGAUUUAUCUUUUGGCGUUCAUCUAGAUUUGUUUUCCCUUGAGUUUGCAACUGUCCUUCAAUGUUUGUAUACUGUGUUGCUCUCUUUGGACAUUGUCAAUCAAAAAUGGACAUCCAAAUGAGUACCCAUCUCGUCUUGAACAGUCCAUGGUUUUAGAACAUUUGCCCCAUUGAAUCAUUGAGACCAGCCAUGCGAUGUCUUUCACCGACCACAUUAUAGCUCCUACGCGAAGUGGUUCUACUCAAAGUAGAAUGGACGCACUACACCACGACACUGCAUUUCCAACAAACAGGUUGGUCGAAAAAACAGCCUUUGCCAACACACAGUCGGUCGAGAAAGAGUAUUGUCGACCGAAACCGUCUGUUGGGGUAAGUCCAGACGAGAAAGCCUUUUCCCGACUGAUUGUUUGACGCCUGUAAAUAGCAUUGCUGACCGACUUUCCGAUGGCACAGGAAGGGCUCUUUCCCGACCAACUUGCGGUUGGGGUUUCCGUCGAAUCUUUCCCGACCAACUGUUUGACGACAAAACCUUUCCCAACCGAUUUUCAGCUGAUGUUGGUGUUGAAGCUUUCCCGACCGACCAUUUGACAAUACAGCCUUUGUCGAUCGAUUUUCUGCUAACGUUGGUGUCAAAGCUUUUCCCGACCGACCAUUUGAUAGCACAUAUUUUGCCGACCAACAAUUUGACAGCAUUUUCCUUAGCUGAGCAAUGUUUAAUACCCAUGUACCCUUGUUUUUACAUCUGCCUUACAAUACAAUGUCAAAUCAAGUUGCAUAUCUCAUUACAAGUCAAGUUACAAUAGCUUGCGUAUCUCAUUACUACUCGCGAGUAAAGGAAACAUUUAUGGUUCAAAGAUUGAAUCACCCAACAGGUUUACAGAAUGAUAGAUGCAUGUCCGAUAUUCAUUGUUUGCUCCAUUACACAAAAACCCAGGUGCACAAAAUGAGACCUAAAAGACGCAUUAUUUUUGCUCCAUUACAGAAAAUCUCUAGCGGAUGCAAACUAACAUCUUCCUGGGUCCUUCCUGCUCCUUUUGUAUGUCUUUUCUACAAAGGAUAAAAAUGUCAUGGUGAGCAUGCAUUCAGAGAUGAUGGCAAAAAUAAUAAUUGUAUAAAUCAUAGAUGCAACGUGACCAUGAAGUAUAUUUCAGGAAAUGUGAGCAAUACAGAGGUGUACUCGGAGCAACACAAGGCAACAUAAUUAAGUUGUAUUUCCAUCAUCUGGACAUAAGGCAAAAAUUUAGCAUGUCCAGACUCCCAGCUUUAAUUCAGAAGACAUGGUACUAUUUACUGUGGAGAGCACUACUCGCUACUCCCUCCGUUCCUAAAUAUAAGUCUUUUAAGAGCUUUUACUAGAUGACUACAUACGAAGCAAAAUGAAUGAAUCUACACUCUAAAGUAUGUCUAUAUACAUCCAUAUGUAGUCCUCUAGUAGAAUCCCUAGAAAGACUUAUAUUUAGGAACGGAGGGAGUAGUUUGGUUGGUGCUCGAGAGCAACUACAAAAUUGUGCCAGCCAGCUAUGAACUAUACAUUAACUUAGCCAAACUUUAGAUGAAGAGAAUAACCAAGAAAAUAUAUACCAUCACCAUUUAAGAAGUGGCAAUGAACUAGGUAGACAUUGAAAAUAAGAGAAGAUAGAACAACAUUGAUUGUUAAUGCUCAAUGUACAGAGCUAGAUAGCAACUAUCAUGAGGAAGAAGAUACAAGGGUCUGGUUAUGUUCAUUACGGUCCCUGGUUUUGUAGCUGAAAAAAUAAAUACUAGCUCAUGAAUCAAAUAUACCUUAGCGGCGGGACGAGGAAGAUGCCCCUAGUUUGUAGGGUUUCAUCUAGCAAAGUGAUCAUGAGUCAGUAUCACAUCAAACAAUUCGAGAUAAGUGGACAAAACACACAUUGUUAGUGAUUACCUUGCUAGAUGGCCAUGCAAUGGACCUUGUGACAGCAUCAUCGAUAAUUUGUAAACCGUCAUCUUCAAAAGGCAAAGUAGCAUCCCUUCUUAGGAACCUUGUGGACACGUUUCCCAUCUGCACUCUUCCUUUCAGAUUUGCAUCGUGAAGCCUUACAUUCUGGCAUGAAUUGGCAUUGACAUUGUUCUUCCAAAAUAGAAUGCAAUCAUUUUCAUGCAUGAAUAUUAACAUACCCAAGUCCUAGGCAUUUGACUAGUUUUUUGGCUUUAUUGGAGUUUUUGGGUAUUGCGGACUGAGGGUAAGCAUCUUUGAGUAGAUCUAACAACAGAUCAAAACUUAUGUCAGACCACCCUCCAAGCAGUUUGAUGUGAAGAAGUCUCACUAGGAAACGAAGCUUUGAGAAAUUCCUACAGCCUGGAUAUAGCUCUUCUCUAGAAUCAGCUUCAAGUUUGCGGAGAGAUUGUAGAAAAGAAUCAUCUUGAUCUAAACCACAAUCAUCUUCAAGAUCUCCCCCUUUAUCCAAACCAGCAAGGUCUCUUAGCAAAUCAGAUAUAUCAUCGCCCUCAUCCCUAUCGUCACCCUCAUCUAGAUUUGGAGGAAUGGGAGGAGAGACACGUUCCCUUGCAUACGAGGUGCUCACGGACUUCAAAUUCUUCUCUCCAGUACGAGUUCACACAGUUUUCGCAAGGACAUAAGAUUUUAUUCUCGACCGAUGAUUUACUAAAUGCAUAGCCUAGGAAUUUGGCAUGCUCUUGUAAGUACUUCUGUGUAUGCCUACAUGCAAGUGUACAUGUGCACUGCAUUAUAUAUAUAGUUUCAGCAUCUAAGAAAUUUAAAAAAUACAUGUGGCUGUUAUACCUAGGCGCAUCCAUCCAACUUUUAUCCAUGGUAGCUAGCUUCACACUUAGUUAUUACCAAAUCAACACUAAAUACUAAAAAGAUAAUAUCAUUACCAGAGAAUGCAAGGAAUUACUGCAAGUACUACCAUAAAUAAAAUGGAUCAAAGAUGUGGUUGACUCACCAACUGGUGGAAGUUGUAGUGACAAGCACGCAAGGGGGAUUAUUGUGCCACUACUGUAAGUUGAGUCUUUGGGAGCAAGAAUCCUGAUAACCAACCAAAUGAAAUCUGAUCGUGCCAUACAUUUGAGAUUGUGUAUUAUAUACAAUAAAAUAGCAUGCAAAUAAAAAACUGUUCAAAUAUUUUAAAAAUAGGCUAAAAUUUGUACAUUACAACACAUGAAAAUUAUACAUAAGCAACAUGAGCAUAUGUUCACAUGUACCGGAGAAUAUGAACUCUUCGAAAACAUGAAAAAAUAGGUUCAAAACUAUACAUCACAAUAGCAUAUUAGAAUUGACUUGACAACACCAUGAGCUGUUUAAAACAUGAAAAAUAGGCUAAAAACUGAAUGUAACAACAACAUAUUAUGAUAAGUUUGACAACAACAUUGCAUAUUAUAACAUGUCUAGCUCCAUUGCUACAAAAUUCACAAAGAACACAAAUCGGUUUAGAUCUCACUACCAAGGGACGGCAAGAAUAGCCAGCUGCAGAGCUUCUGUUGCUGAGAGUGCUUUGUCACGGCGCCCGACCUAUCUCCCCGGUUUGCAACAGGUUAAGCCCCAUCAACCCCGGGAUCUGCAGCAGAUUAAGCCCCAGAUUUGCCCUACGCGCGGCCUGACAACGACGAGGUGAUGAGAUAGCACCUGGGCGAAGGAGAAAGUUUGAGCGUGCGGGGCGGCAAGCCAGCAGGGUCGUGCGGCAGGCAAGGCCGUCUCCGGGGUUGGCCACCACAAGCAGCAGCACCUCCGAGACGUGCCCCGCCACGGCUGUAACGCCAUUCCACAGGGCAACUCUCCUCUGCAGUAGGUAGAGAGGCAACCGACACAGUGAAGAACCCGGCGGCGGCGUGGUGGAGCGCGGGGGCGCGGUGGAGAGCCCGAUGGUGGAGGCCAACAAUGCGGUGGAGCGCGGGGGCGCGAUGGAGCACGGGCGAGGGUGGAGAGCCCGGCGGUGGAGACCAACGGCGCGGGAGCGAGGUGGAGGCCAACGGCGCGGUGGAGCGCAGGGCGCGUGGGAGAGCCCGAUGACGGCGUGGUGAAGCGCAGGGGCGCAACGGAGACCCCGGCGGCGGCGUGGUGGAGCGCAGGGGCGUGGUGGAGCGUGGGGGCGCGAUGGAGCACGGGCGAGGGUGGAGAGCCCGGCGGUGGAGGCCAACGGCGCGGGAGCGAGGUGGAGGCCAACGGCGCGGUGGAGCGCAGNNNNNNNNNNUGGGGAAUGAAGUCAGGAAUUUGGCUGUGCGCGGCGUUGGUGAUUUUGGGGAAAACCUUUCGCGCGUUGGGCCGGCUAUUGGCGCGAAAAAAUUGGCUCUUCGCGCGCUAGAGGCCCAUAGCAUCGGACAGUCGGUCGGGGUUAUUUGCCGACUGAUAGUCCAUGGGCCAUAACGGUUUUCCCAAUCGAUACGUGGAUGGUAUAGGAUGUAGCAUUCCCGACCGAUGAUCCAUUAGAAUUUUUUCUAGCUGACUGUCGAUUGGCAAUAGUGCCUUUUUCCCAACACCCGUCAGUAUGUAAUGCAGUGUCGUGGUGUAUUGACGCCAACGAGCAUACCCCCACCGGACCGGUUCUUCUCUUGUGCAUUUAUUUUUCAAGAAACUUCUUCAGCAUUUUAUGCACCGGGCUGACUCAUCGCUUGUUCGUGUAAUCUUUGUCCAGGUUGGUUAGGUGGGGGUAUAUGCUCGAUUGCUGGGGUACAUGAUGGGCAGAUGUAGAUUGAGUAUUGAAAACAAAUCACAUCUUGUGCUUCAUGUCCGGUCCUUCAUGAUCGUGGAACCUAGGAUCAAUAACUUUAAAGUAGCGUUUGCCUUGAUCGAUGGUAGAAGUGAUAUGAGUGCCUAAGGUUUAGGCCUAAUACUUCCCCGUUUCAUAAUGUGUGGUGCCUAUAAAUUAUUUAGGAGUCAAACUUUACAAGUUUGAUCAAGUUUAUAGAAAAUUAUUUAUAUAUACAAUAUCACUUAUAUGUAGUAUGAGAUGUCCACCUCAUGAUACAAAGUAUUCUUUGUAACCCCGGUUAAAGUUUGUCUUUUGAGAUAAUCUAUGUGCAUUGUAUUAAGGAAGACAGGGUAUAUGGGUCAACAUUGAUUAGUUAAGCGACCGACAUGCGCUCAAGGAGUUGUGUCAUUCGAUUCUGUGGAUGAGCACGGUGCCCAUCUAGGCAUCUAUAUGUGGGGCACGCCUGUUCGGCUGAGCGGGGCCAAAGAGAAGAAGCAGCAAAACCUAUACGAGGUCGAGAUGCGCACGUUGGAUGCGGAGCGCGAGAUGGAGGCCGAGCGGUAGCAUGCGGCACACGGGUACAGGAUGCUACAACCGGUCUAGCAGGCGGCGCUAAAUGCAACACAACAGGCAUCGGGAGUUGGCAUCCUUCGGCCUUGUAUCAUGCAAGGUACUUAGAAGAGGUGUUUAAAAAAAACUAGUAUACAAGGUAGACUCUUAGUUAGGCGUCUCUCUUAUAAAAAUAGACACUGGUAUUUGAAAAAAAAAUCCGGUUUAUUUUUUUAAACACUUAGCAUUGUACAAGGCCUUCUAGACUCCUCCCUUUUCCAUGGAUGGAGACAUCGAGGCACGUCCCUAGAUUCAUCGUCUGUCUGUUUUCACAUUUUUAGUUUUAACUGGCAUAAAUGCCCAUGCGUUGAAACGGAAGAAAAUUUGAUAGAAAUUAUAAAAUCUCCCUCUUUUCACAAAUGUGCUUCGAGCGCCAAUCUUCUAUCCAACUCCGACAAAUUAUGUAUGAAUAUGGAUAGAAGAAGGGAAUGAUUAUAAAAACAUUUAGUGCACCAAGUAAUUUUUUCCUAUUCUUCUCUCCUCGAGUAGCGUUAAAAAAGUCACAAUUAGGGUUACUCUUAUUUGUAGUGAUAGUAUAAAAAUAAUGUUAUUGUCGUCAUGUUUACUAGAGUUUUAGUAAAGAAACAAAAACAAAAAUAGCUAGAAUGAAGAAGGGAUGGAAAAAUUAUGAAAUUUACAAAAAUGUUAAUUCCCUCACUUCAAAACUAUUCGAUCAACAUACUUAAUUCUUUGUUAAAAAUCAGAUUAUUAACACGAAGUUUCAAGCUUGAAAAUAAAAUAAAAUAACACAUCAUUCUCAAUGAUUUUGUUUGAGCAUCUCUCUCGCAUGAGCAAAUAGCAAAAACCACCAUAAUUGUGCAAAAGUCAUCAAACUCCCACCAAAAUGCAUGCUUUAUGGUGGUUUUUUCCUCAAGCAUUGAUAACUUCGACCUGAUUGUGAUUUUUUUAAUUUACUCCUCUCGCAUGCGUCUCUCUUUCUCCCCUCACUCAUCAGCAUGCCCACUAAAUGAAACGUGCAAGAACUCUCACCGAGCUUCUCUUUAAAAGUAAUCAAGGCUAAACGAAACAUUAUCAAUAGAGGUUAGUUUGCUGGUAGGUAUUUUUAUCCUAUCGAGGUCCUGUUUGUUUCAUAAGUCCUAGGACUUUUUUAAGUCCCGACUUAUAAGUCAUAAGUUACUACCUGUUUGUUUACAGGGACUUAUAAGUUUCGAGUCUCUGCCUGUUUGUUUACAGGAACUUAUAAGUUCAUGUUGCACCUAAUAAUACACUUGUUCACAUAACCCUUGUUCAUACAAAUGAAUUGCAGAAUAGUGACAAUCGAAAUAACAAUUGUUCAUAACACUUGUUCAUACAAACGAAUUAACACUUGUUCAUAAGAACCAAAAUAAGAGAGAGUACAUAACAAUUGAGAUAUCAAAAAUUACAUAAGCGAAGAACCUUGGGGCACGGGCCUACCACGACCAGGUCCGACCGAAGGAAGGCCAUGACCGGCCGACUGGUCGAAGAGGAGUUGUUGGUACGAGCCGAACUCCGGGAAGUCGUCGACGUUGCCGUUGAGAUCCAAGAAACGCCCGAAACCCAUUCCCUCCCGAGAUUUCCACCGGCGGAUGAGAACUGGGAGAAAAAAGGCAGCUGCUCCUCCUCCUCAUCAGCCAUGGUACGGUGACCUGGGACGCGAGGAUCGUCAUCAGCCAUGGCGCGGUAACCUGCAGUCAACAUGGAUUGUCAUCAGCCAAAAUGUCAACAAGAAACUGGAUGAAUCAACAGUAACAUUCCAUAUUUUUCAGUUAUUAUUAUACAGGAAACUAGAUGAAUCAUCUUUUAAUUAUAUUAGCAAGAAUCACCAGGAAACUGGAUUAAUUGCAUCGCACAUGACCGGCUUAAUUGCAUCGCACAGACUGGGUGAAUCAUCAACGAAUCAUCAGUGAAAUUGCAGCGCACAGGCCGACGGGACGGGACGGCGGGGGGACGGGGCGACGGGACGGGACUAACCGAGGCAGAAACGGGCGACGGGACGGGGCGGCGGGGGGACGAGCCGAGGCCGAUGGGACGGGACGGCGGGGGAACGGGGCGACGACGGGGCGGGUCGGCGACGGGGCGGGCGGCGACGGGGCGGCUACUCCAGCGAUGCGGGGCGGUGGGGCGGCGGCGGGGCGGGCGGCGACGGGGCGGCUAGCGAUGCAGGGCGGUGGGGCGGCGACGAUUGGGCUGGGAACGACACGGGGUAGGGCGGUGGGGCGGCGGGCACUGAUCGAUGCGGGAAACGACGCGGACCAACGAGCAUAAUUCCCAAUAAGCUCCUCCCUGAGAGUCUUAUUUGAUAAGUCCCAAAUCACCACAAUAAGUCCCAAUAAGCCCCUUGUGUUUGGUUUAGGUGGGACUUAUAGGGACUUUUUUAAGUCCCUAAACCAAUAAGUCUUUGAAAACAAACACCCUGUGAGAGCGACAUGCAAUGUGCGCGCACAUCCAUGAAAAGUCUCACAAUCCUGUCAUGCUGCUUUCAAUCAAUCAUGAAAUCAAUUGUCCAUAAUUCUGCUUUAAGUAUGCGUCGUUUCUUUUCGGGCGUCAAAUUCCUGCUUUAAAUUUGGCCAUGAAAUCUCCCACCAUCCUGCUUUAAUUAGGAGUCAAUUAGCCAUGUAUGCCCUAUUGGGAACGACAUGCAUCGACGUUCAAUUAGUCAUGAAAUUAAUAGUCCAUAAUUCUGCUUUAAGUAGGAGUCGUAAUGGCUCCCAAAUUCCCGUUUUAAAUUAGGCUAGAAAUCUCCCACAAUUCUCCUUUAAUUAUGAGGCAAUUAGCCACACAUUCCUCCUCAUUUAUCAAAUUAUUAGCAUGUGCAGCCAUGGGCAUAAUUUUGAGAGUUAAUUUCUUUGCUUUUCUAGGAAUUUGUUUCCUUGAAAUAAGUGGGUUUUUCAUAGGAUUAAUGGGACUCACAUGUCUUUCUCUUUUUGUUUAUUUUGAUGGCUGCCUAUUGACAUAUAAAAACUGGUGAAAUUUUGCAUAAAAGGGUCGGGGUCGUACAAUUUAGUUGGUAGAUGAAUCCAAAUUUUAAAUGAUAGCAUGAGCUAAAUGAGUUGGUUGGGUACUUUGAUAUGUAAUGUGAAGAGGUUGUGUGUUCAAACCACCAUGGGUGCAUAGUUUUUUAUGCUAUAUCUUUAUUAAUGGGCUGCACACUACUUUUAAUUUUUAAUGGGUUGUGUGUGGCCCAUGCAAUAAAAUCGGAAAUUUUAUUACAAAGCUGGCCUCGAGGGAUACGUGACAGAUCAAAUUUUACGUAUGUAGAUUGGAUGUUGACUGAAAAAAGGUCAUGGUGUUUUGCGUAAAAUAUUAUGACAAUUCAGAAUACAUAUUUUCUUUAUUAGUAGGGAGCUGCUACGCCUUGGCCUAUGGAUCUUUUUAAAAGAUCCGUCACCUCGCGAGUCCUUGGAUGUGGCAGAAUCUACCGCCUGAAUUUCCUCCUCUACUCCGCAACAUAUAUCUUGUUUUAAAAACAUUUACGACAUAGGUUGUCUUACGGAUUUUUUUGUACACAAACUGUGUUGCGGGAUUGUUUUUUUGCAACAAAAACUUUGUUGUUGCAGACUUUUUCUUGCAACUGAGGUUUUGUUGCACAUAUUUUUUGCAGGAGGGAUGAUGUUGCAAAACCUUGUCAACAUUACUGCCAUCAUUUCCUACGAUGCUUUGCGACAUAACUGAUGUUGCAAGAUAUGGUGAAGGAGCAUAGGCAGGGAAAAUAAUGAACCCAUACGAGCAUACGUGAGGACAAAUGGAUGAAGGGUGAUCCAACGGCUGCGCGGGUGGCAGAACUUUCCGCCUGAUCUGCCUGUAGAGUGUGAGUAAUCCCUUAUUACUAGGUAUAUAGAUAUAAAUAUAGAUUAUGUAAAUUGAACUUUUGUAGUUAUUUUAUUAUUUUUAGUUUUAAAUAUUAAAAUUAUUCUAUCCGCGUUUGGCUGUCGGUGAACAAGAACGGAUAAUGACAUCUGCUUAGGCCAACUUCAACCCACGAUUCCAAAUGGACGUCUUUUUUGUUCGGAUUUCGUUUGUUUGGACCGGCAAAACAUACGUUUGUGUCCGGUUUUCGGCGUCGGCCUCAGCAUGCACCCAAUGGGCGGCCGCAUCGCAUAUUGCCCGCAUCACAUGAAUAAAAAAGGCGAUCACACAUUUUAUAAUACAAAGAUAAAACUUAAUUUAAACAUUACUAAAUUCUAAAAAGUCCAUGCGCCUUAAAUAAACAUUACUAAGAAAACUUCAAUGCCACCACUGCCCGUGGCCGUCGUCGCUACCGCCGUCGUCUUCACGUGUCGUCUAUGGUGAGGUUGACAUACGACGGAGGCAUCCAGAGGUGGGUCGAGGGCGCGUGCGUUGGAUGAAUGCGUCGCGAGGGCGGGAGGGGCUUGAUGGUGACUGUGGUGGCGUGGGCGCCCAAGGCUCGGCACCUAUCGAGUCGACCAUCUCCGACGCGAUGGCCGACCAUGCGAGGGUUCCAAACACCAGCGACGGGCUCCUCUAUGCAGGGUGGCUCCUCCACGGCCUCCUCCUUGACGGCUAUCUCUAGCUCUCGGAUGGCGACGUCGUCGACCGCGGAGAGGGCCAUCAUCUCCUCGAGCCCCUCCCACUUGCGCUUGUCGUGGGUGUGGAGAUAGUCCUAUAUCACGUGCCACAUCGGCUCCCCCUCCCCAUCGGUGAUAGGGACUGGUUGGGGUGGCGACGACGGUGAUGGGUUGGACGUGAACCUAGACAGCCGACAAAGUACGACUAUCGCGCGCACGCCGUGUUCAUCACGGAACCAAGUAUCCCAUAGAGGCAAGUCUAUGGCAUACCGGUGGUCGUUGACGAGGUCAGGCGGUAGGUGGGUGCGGCGGUGACAGAUCUCCUCGCGAAGGGCCCGGACGCUCAUCGGGACUGGUGGGAUCGACACCCAAUAUGCGGAGAGGUGUCAGUUAUUGGGGAGGUGCACGUCGCUCCACGAGAACAAUGAGCACAUCUCCCAAUACCACUCGCGGAUCUCGGCCUUCACGUACGACCGCAUGCGAGGAGCGGCCGGCGCUGACGAGACGUGAAAUGGGGGGGUGUAGGAAGUGGAGAUGGAGGAGGAACGAUGGCCGGAGGAAGACCCGUGUGACAGCCCGAGACCGACGUUCCAGAAGCUUCCCCUUUUCUUUUCGUUUUCGUCGUGUGCGUAUUUUCAGUUGCCGCAUCAUCAUCGCAUCUUGCGCAUCAUCUGCAUUGCAUCGGCAUCUCCGUUGCCGCCAGUUUUCAAAACUUGCAUCCGUUAGUAGUUGCCGGUUCUCGUCGUUGCCCGUUCCGAGCCCCGACCGCACACGCACGCGCCCGCGGCACCGUCGAAACCCUGUUUUAAAAGCGCGUUUAAAACUCUCUCUGAUCGAGGUGAAACUUGGCACGCGAUCGCGAUUAGAUGUAGCUAGGCCGCCUGUCGAAUUUCGUCGCGAUCGGAGACCGUCUGGUACCCGAACGGUCGCUCGUAGCGGCACCGUAUUCGGGCUACUGUCGGACGUUGUCGGUGUUUUAAAGUUCAUGCCGCGCCGCCCGUUCUCCCUCUCGUCUCCGGACAUCUACACAACACGGUCGCGUACCCAUACCCGCGUUCGGAAUCGUCCGAAUCCGACCCCGCGGUUGGAUCCGGAGCGCGAUUCCGGUUAACCGAGCCCCCUUUUUCCUUAUGAAUACCCCCUCCUCCUUAAUUUUGGAUAGCCCCUCUUCCCUGCCUCGUUUUCCGCACCCCACCUACCAAACCCUAACCCUAGCCGCAGCAGCCCCUCCCCACCAGCGCCGCCGGCCCGCCCGAGCCCGCGCGCGGCCCGCCGGGCCCGAACCGCCGCCGCCGAGUGCCCGAGCCCCUGCAACCCCGAGCCUCCCCCAUGGCUCGCUGCUCCCGUCGCCGGCGCCGCCUCUCCCCGCGCCUCGCGCCGCGCCGCCUUCCGCCGCUGCGCCUCGGGCGGCGCCGACCAGCACCGUCGUCGACAGCCGCCGCCGCGCAGGGCCCCCUCCGGCCGCUGUAGCCCCAGAUCCUGCGCGAGCCGACCUCGUCGUCCAGGGGUCGCCUCGAGCGCCGCCGCCGGGACCUCGCCCCUUCGGCCGCGCCGCCGCGCCUCCCUCGCCAGUGGCCGCCUCGCCUGCCUCGCUGCGCCCCGUGUUGCCCCCCCUCGCCGGCCGCCGCAGCACCGCCCGGCGCCACCGCUCGCACGUCCUGCUCGGGAGCAGGGCAACGGGAGCGCCUCCUCCUCCCGCGUGGGCCCCGAGCUGGCCCAGCCGGGACGGCCCACCUCCCUCGGCCUCGCCCAGCUCCCCGGCCCAUCUCCAGCAGAGCCCGUCCGGUCCAGGUGAGAGCCCCCCUCGAGCCUCUCUACCUCGCGCCCCAGGCGCCUCUUAGUGCUUUCGCGCAUGGAUUUCGGCCCAGUAGACAUUUAGGAGUUAGACCGAAUUUAAAUUCUUUUUCAGGGUUAGACUAGAAUUUAAACCCCUGUAACUUUUAAACCGUAAGCCGGUUCGAGACGUGUUAUAUAUCGUUUUGGGGUAGCUUCGCGAGUAGAACACGUUUAUCCAACAUGCAUAUUUAUUUAACGCUGUUUAGAGUGCCUAAUGCCUCGUUUUACGUGCUGUUUAACUAGGUUUCGAUCCGUAGUUAUUUUUCGCGCGUGUCCGGACUGCCCGUAUGCCAUAGAUUUAAUGUCCAUGUUUUAGGGACCAUAUUUCUACGUAUUUUAGAGCGGUCACUCGUAUUUUUCCGUGUAGGGUUUUGCCGGUAGUUUAUUUUCUCGUUUAGAGGUAUUAUCUCGCAUUAUUGUGUGGCGUUAUUUUGUGCUGCAAACCCCACAUAUUAUAUAUGUUUCCGGGGUAGAAAAAUCCCAUGGAUUUUUCUGUGCAAUUAGUUUUAGCUUUUGAGGAAGUUAGUUCGCGAGAUAUUUUGCCGUGAUGCCCUUUUGUUUAAUCCGUAGGUUUUAUUCCGGGCCUCGUUUGAAUUAGUUGUCAACUAGUGUUUUGAUCUUGGAUGUUUUGUUUAGUCCCUGCUAUUUUUGGUUGCAAUAGAAAUGCAUGUUUAGGUGUUAUUUGACUGCCCUCAAGUUGCUUGAAUAGUGCUGUUUCAGAGGAGCCGAAAUAUUUCUAAGUCUGGAAUCUGUUAUUAUUUUGUUGUUGUCUUGUCUUGCUUCUAUCUUGUGAUCUGUAUCUCUUUUGAGGUUGGUCCAAUGGAGUUAGUUGUUCCCCUUAUGUUUCUCUAGCAUGCUGUUAAGUUUCAUGCCAUUUGGAGACCUGUAGCUUAGGGCUUUGCUGCUGUCAAUAUUGCUUCAGGCUGAAAAGUGCACUUUCAGGAGGUGAUAUUUUCACUAAGUCUGAAAUAGUGCGUGAGAUGCCAUUUUGUGUCUUCUUUUCCUAGUGCUCCUUGCUGCCAAGCUAGUAGUUGUUAGUUGUUUGUAGUAGUGCGUCUUGCCCUCUUUCAUGCCGUGCCUUGCUUGAGCUCCUCGGAGUUGUGUAGCCGAAGUUGUGAGUCGUAGAAGUUGCUAUGUGGCUGUUUUGGGCAGAUUGUAGCGUUUUCUUGUUUUGCUCGUAGUUUCCGAACCGUAGCUCCGAUUUGGUCAUGUCCUACAUGAAACUUGCUUAGAAUCUCGUGUAGUUUCAUUUUCUCUUGCUGGUUGCAUGUGAUGAAGUGCUCGUAGCCGCCGUUGCACACAUUUUGCAUUCAUGCUAUCAUAUCUUGCGGUGCUUGCAUCUUUUGAACCGUAGCUCCGUGGGAGAUGUUCUUUACGUGUAGGUUGCUUGCCUUGACGCGUAGAAUCACGUGAACCUAUUUGUUUUGCUGGUUAACAACCAAUUAUAUGCUUUAGUUCAGAUCUGGUCAGAAUUGUAAAUUAACUUGUGAGGUCGUCUCGGAGAUGCUAUAUAUCAUUUCCGACCUCAUUUAAAAUGUCUAGGUAGGUUGUUUAAUUCCCGCUCCACCUCUUGCAUGUUUAACAACAUUAACAUUGUCGUGUAAAUAACCGGGAGUGAACUAAAUAACUACCGUGGAGUUUCGUCAAUAUGCAACUCGUGCAUAUUGAACUUCACUUAAUGUGUAGUGUUUGAUUGUGUGUUUUGUCAUGCCGUGACUUGCAUGUAUUCAGUAGCUCAUGCAUCAUAUGUGUCUUGCGUCGUGUGGUGAUUCUCGUGUGUUGAUGCUUGUUUCCGGUUUCCUCCGUCUCGAUAGAGUUCCGCAAGCGUGUCGGAUGUGAGGACCGUUCGACUACGUCGGUUCGUCUGCUUCACGGAGGCAUACUUCUUCCAAGCGGGAUCUCAGGCAAGAUGAUCAUUUCCCCAGAUACCACUACUAUCAUUGCCAUGCUAGUUUUAUCGCUUCUAUCGUUUAUGUCACGUUGCCUACCACCUGUUAAAUAUCAGCCUCUCAACAAUGCCAUGAUUACCUUCAACCUGUUCGACCUAGCAAACCACUGAUUGACUAUGUUACCGCUUGCUUAAUCCUGUUGAUAGCGUUGCUAGUUGCAGGUGCAUUGCUUCCAUGUGAAAGCAUGGGUUCCUUGUUAUAUCACCAUAUUAAAUGCUAUUUAAUUUAAUGCACCUAUAUACUUGGUAAAAGGUGGAAGGCUCGGCCUUUCUAGCCUGGUNNNNNNNNNNNNNNNNNNNNNNNNNNNNNNNNNNNNNNNNNNNNNNNNNNNNNNNNNNNNNNNNNNNNNNNNNNNNNNNNNNNNNNNNNNNNNNNNNNNNGUAAUUUGUGAUGGACUAGUUGGAGCACCCCUGCAGGGUUAAAUCUUUCGGAAAGCCGUGCCCGCGGUUAUGUGGCAACGUGGAAGCUUUGUUUAACACUGGUUCUAGAUAACUUGAAGUUAACUUAAUUAAAACAUGCCAACUGUGUGCGUAACCGUGACUGUCUCUUUCGUGAGUUCCUUCUCCGAUCGAGGACACGGUGGGGUUAUGUCUGACGUAGGUAGGUGUUCAGGAUCAUUCUUUUAAUCAUCUGUAGUGACGUCCUUUAUGCGUAGAUCUCCCCCCUCUUAUUUCUUGUACUCGUAAGUUAGCCACCAAAUAUAUGCUUAGUCGCUGCUGCAACCUCACCACUUAACCAUACCUCUCCCAUUAAGCUUUGCUAGUCUUGAUACCUUUGGAAAUGAGAUUGCUGAGUCCCCCGUGGCUCACAGAUUACUACAACACCAGUUACAGGUGCAGGUAAAGGUUACUCGACGUGAGCGCGUUGAUUGUUCAUUUGAAGUUGCUACUUCUUCUUCUUCGAUCUAGGAUGGGUUCCAGGCCGGCAACCUGGGAUAGCAAGGAUGGACGUCGUUCUUCUUUUGUCGUUUGUUUUCGUCUGUAGUCGGACCCUGCUCUUACUCCUGAUGUUUAUGUAAUGUACUGAUGUGACUCUGAUGUAGCUUGUGGCGAGUGUAAGCCAACCCUCUUUAUAUAUCUCUCCUUUUCAGUACAUGUACUUGUAACGAUAUCCAUUCUUGCGACACGACGAGAUGCGCUUCUAUCCCUGACGAGGCCCUCGUGCCAAAUUGAGGAUAGGGUCGCAUCUUGGGCGUGACAACCCGACUCGUGGUCGUGCUUCCCCUUAUGACCGAGGAUCCAGUGCCAACCCAUUUUGCUGGUGACGAGGUGGAGGAUAGGAGGCGUCGGAGCCAAGGUUUGACACGGGCGUGUCGGGCUCCGAGGAACUCCACAACUUCCACAUUAAGAAGGACGACGAGCAAAGGCGCUCUACGGCUGACAGACGGGCCCACCCCCAUGUGUCCCUUAAAGGCGAGCAGUGGGAGGUAGGUGGGCGGCUGCCACGCGACCCUCAGACGGACGCAAAGCAAACGCGUGGGCGUCCAUUCAAUCAUUUCGUGUACGUCUGAACACAAACCAGGAGAAUGUUUGCGCGAGAAAUGUGAAUGCUCACGCGAGUUGAGCCUUCUCAUCAUACCCACACGGUUUGGAGUUUUGCGUUGAAGUAUACCUGGGUAUUCUUCGGUCCGGGCCAAAAAAAGCCCCGUGAAGAAAACCCAGGCCCGAGCCCGGCCCGGCCCGACCGUCGGGCCUAAAUAUUGGGGCCAAGCCCGACCCAAACCGAAAAAAGCCCGACUGAGCCCGACAGGUUCAGCCCGACCGCGAUGUAAAAAUUGUUUUUGUCGAGCCCGAGCCCGACCCGACCCGACCGUUGGGCUCAAAUUCCAGGACCAAGCCCGGCCCGAUGGGACAUUUAGGCCCGGCUCGACCCGUGAUUUUCGAGUUGGGUCUGGUCGGGUCGUCCGGACCGGGUUGCCCAUGGCCACGUAUAGUUGAAGUUGGCCUUAGCCGACCCAAACACACACACACACACACACACACACAAAGACAAAAUCCGCGUCCGUGUUAACCUGAGAAAAUGCAUCGUCGAAGGCAUAACACGACACGUGCACUCCACUCCAUGCCUGCCCCCUCCCCUCAGGCCUUGUCCGGUUGCAUGACAAAUGGGUGGGAUUGACAUGUAUUGACAGGGAUUAAAUCCCAUCUAGGUCAAAUUCCUCCCAAAUUCCCUCCAAUCCACUCCAAUCCACCUGGUGGGUGGCUUAACCGAACAAGGCCUGAAGGUGCCUUUAGAGCAUCCCUAGUAGUACCCUCAAACCCUUAAAUUCUUAAAAAUAAUUGUUUUCUACAGCUUGCGAGCAAAAAAAAUCGCGUAGACUAGAACCCCUUAACCCUCAAACCCUUAAAUUUUUUUUGAGGAUCAGACCUUCAAACUCUCUCCCAACCUGUACAAGUGAGGAUUGGAGAGCAAAACCUACCCCAACCCUCACUUGCGAGCCAUCCGAGCGCGGAGGGAAAUUUCCUGUCCCCAAAUCCCGUUUGCGCCCACCCGAGCCGCCGCCAGCCGCCUCUCCAGCCGUCGCCGCCGUCCCGUCCCCCGGCCGCNNNNNNNNNNNNNNNNNNNNNNNNNNNNNNNNNNNNNNNNNNNNNNNNNNNNNNNNNNNNNNNNNNNNNNNNNNNNNNNNNNNNNNNNNNNNNNNNNNNNNNNNNNNNNNNNNCCCGUCCGAGCCCGCCCCCACCCCGCCCCCCGGCCGCCGCCCGCCCUCCGCCCGCAGCAGGCUGGACGCCUCUCCUCCACCUCCUCCCGCGCGCGCCCCCCGGCCGCCGCUCGCCCCUCCACCUCCUCCCCCCCGCGGCCUGCCCCUGGUAACCUGCGCCCGCCUGAUUAUUGUUUUCUUCAAACCGUUAUUGAGAUGAUGAAAAUUAUGAUAUGUGAAAUGACAGUUUUAAAGGCACCGUCCUGUUUUCCAACUAUUAAAAAUGUCAAAAAAAUGUCAAUUUUCAACUGUUAAACUGAUUUUAGGAUUUGAGCGCACUAGUAGCAGCGAUUCUCUUAUUCUUCUUCCCCACCCAUCCUCUUCACCCCCGCUCUCAUUCCCAUUCCCCGCACCCCUCAAUUGCAUCGGAGCAUUAUUUUUGCUAAAUGGUCCCUUCACAGGAUCUUAUGUAUGUACCAGAGCAUCUACAGCCGGCCCCUGGAUCUGGAACCCGAGUGGAUACCCAUCCCAUCCGGAUCCGGAUCUUGACCGACCCCUUCCCCCGCCGGCGACGAGCCCUAGCUAGCUCGGACCAGUCCUGGUGCGAGAGGCCACCGGCGGCAAGGCUGCGUGCGGUGGCGGAGCAUGCACUGCGAGCGCUCUACUCGGAUCUGACCGAACCCCGUCGCCGCGCCCGUCCCGCUCGCCGUGGCCGAUGAUCGCGCGCGUCGGCUGGGGCCGCGUCCCUCCCCAGAUGGCGGCGAUGAUGGAGGGAGCCGCCGGCACCAGCCCCCUCCCGCCUCGCCGGACCGCGCAUCGGCUUGGAGGCCCCUCGGGACUGCCGCCGGUGCGGGGGGGCGUCCGCGGCCUUGCGGGCUGGGGACCGAGCGGGAUCUGAGCCGCCGUCGAUGGAUUUCUCGCAGCCUGGCUUCGUUUUUCUUUGGAUCCGGUACGGUCCCCAUAUCUCUCUCUCUCUCUCUCUCUCUCUCGGAGUUGACACCACUAGAUCCAAAUCCUAAACCAAAUCAGGGGAGCUCUCGUUGCCGGAUCGCUGGCCUAUCGUCCGGAUGUCCGCCGCGUCAGUUCCCCACAGCUACGGUGCCGCCAGCCACCGCCGUUCCAUUGCCUUGGAUUCGGCUGUGCGUGUGGGCUGGGAACCGUUCUCUGUUGUCUGAUGCGUCGUUGGAGCGGGAGCUUUGGUCGGUCGAGGCCAGGUAUGAGCAUCCACGAAGGCGUAGAAGAUCGACAUCNNNNNNNNNNCGUGGGCUGGGAACCGUUCCCUGUUGUCUGAUGCGUCGUUGGAGCGGGAGGUUUGGUCGGUCGAGGCCAGGUAUGAGCAGCUCCUGAGCUGGCUGGAUGGAUGGAUGCAGGUCAUGUGUCGUGAACUAACACCACGAUACUUAGGCUGUUUGUAAUGGGAGUAUCAUAAGUAGGCAAUUUUGAUGAUUCUUCAUAGAAUUAAAUGAAGUUGAGUAUGUGUCAUGCAUGGCAAUAAAUGAACCACCCUAUGAUACUAUUAACAGAUUAUAAUAUGCAUUACGGAUGUAGUAUCAUAUGCAUAAUACUAGUAUAUGAUACUCUCUAUUACGACCAGCCUUAUCUGGAACGGAGGGAGUAUACUUUGGAACAGAGGGAGCAACUAGAGCCGACACCCAGCAACCCAGCAACCAAAUCCGGAGCCGUCGCUCGGACCCCGAGUCCACGCACCAGGCUGGCCAACGACACUGUCACCCACAUGGCCAGUGCUGGCAUCCCUCCACUCUCUCUCUCUCUCUCUCUCUCUCUCUUUAACCCUAAAACAAAUCAGUCAAGCUCUCGUUGCCAACUCGCUGACCCACCGUCCGGGUGGCUGCCACAUCAGUUCCCUGUUGCCACGGUGCUGCCAGCCUGCCAUUCCACUGCCUUGGAUUCGGUUGUGGCGUGGGCUGGGAACCGUAGAGUUUUGUUCCGAUGUGUCGUUCAAGGCGGAGGUUUGGUCGGCUGACGUUAGGUAUGAGCAGCUCCUGAGACUGUCUAAGUUACUCACCACUAUGACCAGUUUGAUGGAUGGAUGGAUGCUACUGUGUGAUGAAGGCCCUGUUUGGAUACUCUAACUUAGCUAGAGGUUAGAGGUUAAAGUUAGUGCUACUGUGUGAUGAAGGCCCUGUUUGAACGGUAGAGUUAGCAGGAUGGAUGAAUGCAGGUCAUGUGUCGUGAACUAAAGCCACGAUACUUAUCUCGAACAGAGGGAGUAUAUUUUGGAACGGAGGGAGUACAUAUGUAUGUAUGGAUAUCAUGGUCAUGUUGCUUUGGGGUUCAACCUCUUUUUGGAUUAAAAAAGAGGGGCGAUGCCGAUGAUGAUUACUGUGGCUGAAAUAAUCAUGUCUUGAGACAUCAAGACAGCCAUGGCGAGGUGGGACUAAAUAGUGCCUGAAAAUUGGUGUCUGUGUUGGAGUUGCUCUUAGAGCCCACCCUUACCUCUGUUGCAGCCUGUCCAAUUCAUCGCCAAUGUUGGAUGUUCUGUGCCUUGGACGGUCGUUCUGAUGAGUGAUAACCAGGGCAGUUCUCUUACAUUGUGAUGGGUGGAUUAUGCUGCAAGAGAUGUGAGUGUUGGGUUUGAAGAUGAAAUGCAAAACUGAGCCNNNNNNNNNNCUUGCUACGUUACAUAAACUCGGUUCAGUUGCAUUUUGUUCUGGAUCUGGGAUGGAUCCUCCUCCUCUCUCUCUCUCUCUCUCUCUCCCUCCCUGCGAAGAAGAAGAAGAAGAACAAACCAGUCAAGCUCUCAUUGCCGACUCGCUGACCCGUCGUCUGGGUGGCUGCCACAUCAGUUCCCUGAAUCUACGGUGCUGCCUGCCACUGCCAUUCCAUUGCCUUGGAUUUGGUUGUGGGGUUGGCUGGGAACCGUACAGUAUUGUCUGAUGUGUCGAAUGAGCCGGAGGUUUGGUCAGCUGAUGCCGGGCAUGAGCAGCUCCUGAGACUGAGACUAGUCAUAGGUGGGAGUAACUUAGGUUUUAGUUCAAUUUGAACUUGAACUAAAACCACAACAGGAAUUAUGUAACGGAGGGAGUAACAUACAUGCCACAUACGCAAAAAAGGUGGUGUGACAAGUAAUUAAAGAGGAUGGAUGGAUGGAUGUGUGCAUGCAUGUAAUGGGUAUCGUGGUCAUGUUGCUUGGUGUAUAGAGCCCAGCCGAGGGAUCAACCUCCUUUUUGGGAAAAAAAUGAGGGGCGAUGAUGAUGUCACCGGCCGACAUAAUCAUGCCUUGAGCAAUCAAGACAGCUGUGGUGUGUGGGUACUAAUUAGAGCCGGAAUCGGUGACCUCGUUGGAGAUGCCCUUAGAGCCCACCCUUACCUCUCUUGCAGCCUGUUCAAUUCAUCUAUGAUGUUGUAUGUUCUGUGCCUCGGACGGUCGUUCUGAUGAGUGAUAACCAGGGCAGUUCUAUUACAUCGCGAUGUGUGGAUAGCAAGAGAGUGAGUGCUGGGUUUGAAGAUGAAAGAUAAAACUGAGCCAUCAAUUUUUCACCGUUUAGUUGCAUCUUGUUUUGGAUUCGGUAUGGAUCCUCCUCACCUCUCUCUCUCUCUCUCUCAAACCCUACGCUCUCAUUGCCAACCCGCUGACCCAUCGUCCGGGUGGCUGCCACAUCAGUUCCCUGUUACUACGGUGCUGCCAGCCUGCCAUUCCAUUGCCUUGGAUUCGGUUGUGGCGUGGGCUGGGAACCGUAGAGUUCUGUUCUGAUGUGUCGUCUGAGACGGAGGUUUGGUCGGCUGACUCCAGGUAUGAGCAGCUCCCGAGACUGUCUAAGUUACUCACCACUAUGGCCAGUCUGAUGGAUGGAUGGAUGCUACUGUGUGAUGAAGAGAUGGAGUUCUUACAGGGGCGAUGAUGAUGACCAUGGCUGAAAUAAGCAUGCCUUGAGCAAUUAAGACUGCUGUGGCCUGUGGGUACUAAAUUAGAGCGCACCCUUACCUCUCUUGCAGCAAUUCAAUUCAUAGCUAAUGUUGGAUGUUCUGUGCCUUGGACGGUCAUUCUGAUGAAUGAUAACCAGGACAAUCCUCUUACAUCGCAAUGGGUAGAUUAUGCAGCAAGCUAUGUGAGUGUCAGGCUUUAAGAUGAAAGGCAAAACUGAGCCCUCUUUCGCUACGCUACAAAUAUUUGAUUUUACCUUCUUUAAUAUGCAUUGUUUUUUUUUNNNNNNNNNNNNNNNNNNNNNNNNNNNNNNNNNNNNNNNNNNNNNNNNNNNNNNNNNNNNNNNNNNNNNNNNNNNNNNNNNNNNNNNNNNNNNNNNNNNNUCUCUCUCUGUCUCUCUCUUUCCCCGCCCAGCAACAAAUAGCCGUAACUGGUAACUUGCUGUAGAGCAAGGCCUCCUAGUAUAACGACUAACUGUCUAACUGGGCAAAGUUGAAUGGAACCAAUCUCAGGAUAUGUUGAAAGAUCUCCAACACCAAAGGGGAGGAAAUCAUCAUAGCCAUUCAGAAAAGAAUAGAACUCAUCAACACACAACAGAAACAAAUAUGCUGUGUUCAGAAGACAUCAAUCCAAGUCCAGAUGGGCCGUUACUCACAUCAACACAAUAUAGAGGAAUAGAAAAAAAAANNNNNNNNNNUUGUGUUCAGAAGUUAAUUUGGACCACUAUGCUGAUGGCCGUAUUACUGACAAUGAAAGAAGCGAUUUACAUUUGUUCACUUAAAAUAAAAGGAGUAACUGCAAGCCAAAUAAAAAAAGGACAAUAUAAAUUUUCCAUUUUGGAACAAAAGAAAAACAUAAUAAGAUAGAUAUCCAAGUCAAAAACAAUAGUGUGUUCGACAUAUAUAGUUUGUACAACUAUACAAGCAAAAACAACGCCAGCUAUGUAUCCAUCUCGAAUCCAAAACAACAUGCAACUGAGCUGAGUAUAUGUAGCGUAGCAAAAGAGGGCACAGUUUUGCAUUUCAUCUUCAAGCCCAACACUCACAUCUCUUGCUUCAUAAUCUACCCAUCACAGUGUAUGAAAACUGCCCUGGUUAUCACUCAUCAGAACGACCGUCCAAGGCACAAAACAUCCAACAUUGGCGAUGAAUUGGACAGGAUGUAAGAGAGGUAAGGGCAUCCUCCAACGUCAAGAUCGAUUUUCAGGCAUUAUUUAGUCCCACCUCGCCAUGGCUGUCUUGAGGUCUCAAGACAUGAUUAUUUCAGCCACAAUCAUAAUCGUCAGCAUCGCCCCCCUUUUUUAUCGAAAAGAGGUUGAACCCCCAAGCAACAUGACCAUGAUAUCCAUAUAUACAUACUCCCUCCGUUCCAAAAUAUGCUCCCUCCGUUCCAGAUAAGUAUCGUGGUUUUAGUUCACAACACAUGACCUGCAUCCAUCCAUCCAUCCAUCUUGCUCAGGAGCUGCUCAUGCCUGGCCUCGACCGACCAAAACUCCAGCACCGACGAAGCAUCAGACAACACCGUACGGUUCCCAGCUCAAUCGCACAGCCGAAUCCAAGGCAAUGGGACGGCGGUGGCUGGCAGCACCGUAGCGGUGGGAACUGACGCAGUGGUCACCAGGACGAUGGGUCAGCGAUCCGGCAACGAUAGCUCGCCUGAUUUGGUUUAGGGUUUGGGUCUAGUGGUGUGAACUGCACGCACGCAUGCACCGAGAGAGAGAAUGAGGCUCUGUUUGAUAGCUCAGUUUUUUCUAAGUAUUAUAAGCAUACUACAGUUUUUUAGAAUACCAUGAUUUUAAUUACUGUGAGCUGUUUGGCAGCCCAAAAACUGUAGUAUGGCCAAAACUGUGGUAUUUUAUUUGUGUAAAAAGAAGAAUCCCAGAUCUGCGGUAUGCACAUUAAGCAAUAUAAAAAUCAUAUCGCUAAAAAAAAAAAAAGAACCCCAGACCUCUUUCUUUAAACAGAGCAAGCGAAAAGAGGCAUCGCACGCACACUUUAUUUUCUUCGCUGCUCCACCCACCGCUCCGCUCCGGCCACCGGCCCUGCUCCACACGCCUCGACUGCGUGCCAGAAGGUGGGCAAGCAGUCCCGUCGGCCAUUUCGUAGCUCCGCCUGCUGAGACACCUACACCAUGUUGUGAACCAUGCUCAUUGAUAAUCUACAAGUCUUGUGCAAGGCUGUUCUUCAUGCAUGUGGCUACCUGCUUCUACAGUUUGCGUGCAACGGCUUGACACUAUCAAACAGGUAGCCUGUAUUGCUGAUACUUCAAAAUUCUUUAAUAUGUAAAAACUGUGGUAAAUUAUGCCAACAGUCAAAAAUACUGUAGUUUUUCAAUACUUCGGUUUUUAGAAUACUUGUGCGAGAGAGAGAAAUGGGGAUCGUACCGGAUCCAGAGAAAAACGCAGCAAGGUUGCAAGAAAUCCAUCGACAGCGGCUCAGAUCCCGCUCGGCCCCCAGCUCGGACGGCCAUGGACGCCCACCCGCACUGGCGGCAGCCCCGAGGGGCCUCCAAGCCGAUGCGCGAUCCGACGAGGCAGGAGGGGGCCGGCGCCGGCGGCCCACUCCAUCCUAGGGAGGGACACGGCCCCAACCGAGGCGCGCGAUCAUCAGCCACGGCGAGCGGGGCGGGCGCGGCGACGGGAUGGCAAGCAUCAAUGGUGGAAGUUAAGGAGGACUACAAUGGCAAAUAUCAACUGAAAAAUUGAUAAUGGAUACGAAAAUUGGACCAAAAAACUGAAAAAUGGCAUCAAUAAGAAUCUGCUUUUAAAUUUGUUCAAUAAAAAGAUUUCACACCAUCUCACCUUUCCAGAAGGUGCACACAAAGAACCAAAGUCAUAGUUUUUUUUUUUUUUGAGACAAACCAAAGCCAUAGGUAAUGACAGGUUUCUUUUUCAAGCUACAGGCCGACAAUGCACAGAAUAUAUAUAACUUAAUUUUCACAAUGAGCCCAUGACCAUUCACAGUUGCCAAACGGGCAUUCUUCAAAUCAAGAAGAAACAAAGAAAAGUUAGUAGGGAAAUCAAGCUGUUUUCUGGAGGAUAUUCCAGAAGUUCUCACUGAUCAAAUUACUAUAAUCAAACAGUAGUAGAAGUAUCAAACACAGGUGUCAUAACAAACACAUGCACGAGGAAUAGUUCGUGAAAUCCAGGAAAAUUGUAGAGUAUUACUUGAAUGGCUCAGAUUUAACCCACCAUAAAUCACCAAAGUUGGACAACGCUUCAGGUAGUACUUGAAGCCUUAUGGUACCAAACAACAACAACAACAACAACAACAACAAAGCCUUUCAGUCCCAAACAAGUUGGGAUAGGCACGUGGAUAGCUAAUUUCCAUGCACCCCUGUUCAUUGCUAGUUCUUUGGUGAUAUUCCAAUCCUUCAGGUCUCCUUACCANNN
This 29794-nucleotide long non-coding RNA is filed under the name Hordeum vulgare. RNAcentral describes it as "long non-coding RNA (HVUL_LNC020567)". The record is from RNAcentral. Lineage: Eukaryota; Viridiplantae; Streptophyta; Magnoliopsida; Poales; Poaceae.